RNAcentral lists this ribosomal RNA (921 nucleotides) under uncultured bacterium. RNAcentral describes it as "bacterial SSU rRNA". It matches the Rfam family "Bacterial small subunit ribosomal RNA", at positions 1 to 918 of the family's 1533-position model. The record is from RNAcentral.
UAGAGUUUGAUCAUGGCUCAGGACGAACGCUGGCGGCGGGCUUAACACAUGCAAGUCGCACGAGAAAGGGUCCUUCGGGACCUGAGUAAAGUGGCGAACGGGUGCGUAACGCGUAGCCACCUGCCCUGAAGCGGGGAAUAACUGCCGGAAAUGGCAGCUAAUACCACAUAACGUCCAGAGGUUACAUGACUUCUGGAUCAAAUCCCGACUUAUGUUGGGAGCUUUGGGAUGGGCCUGCGUCGGAUUAGCUGGUUGGUGAGGUAACGGCUCACCAAGGUGACGAUCCGUAGCUGGUCUGAGAGGAUGAUCAGCCACACUGGCACUGAGACACGGGCCAGACUCCUACGGGAGGCAGCAGUGGGGAAUCUUGCGCAAUGGAGGCAACUCUGACGCAGCCACGCCGCGUGCGGGAAGACACCCCUAUGGGGCGUAAACCGCUUUUCUGCGAGAAGAAGGCGCCGGUCUCCGGCGUUUGACGGUACCGCAGGAAUAAGGACCGGCUAACUCCGUGCCAGCAGCCGCGGUAAUACGGAGGGUCCAAGCGUUGUCCGAAAUUACUGGGUGUAAAGGGUGUGCAGGCGGAGCGACAAGUCAGCGGUGAAAGCCUACGGCUCAACCGUAGAAGCGCCGUUGAAACUGCCGUUCUUGAGUCCCGGAGAGGCCAUCGGAAUUCGUGGUGUAGCGGUGAAAUGCGUAGAUAUCACGAGGAACACCAGAAGCGUAGGCGGAUGGCUGGACGGGUACUGACGCUCAGGCACGAAAGCGUGGGGAGCAAACAGGAUUAGAUACCCUGGUAGUCCACGCCGUAAACGAUGGAUGCUCGAUGUGGCCCUGUUUAGGGGGCCAUGUCCAAGCUAACGCGUUAAGCAUCCCACCUGGGGAGUACGAUCGCAAGGUUGAAACUCAAAUGAAUUGACGGGG